This 1485-nucleotide ribosomal RNA is filed under the name Enterococcus faecium. RNAcentral describes it as "bacterial SSU rRNA". It matches the Rfam family "Bacterial small subunit ribosomal RNA". The record is from RNAcentral. Lineage: Bacteria; Bacillati; Bacillota; Bacilli; Lactobacillales; Enterococcaceae.
GACGAACGCUGGCGGCGUGCCUAAUACAUGCAAGUCGUACGCUUCUUUUUCCACCGGAGCUUGCUCCACCGGAAAAAGAAGAGUGGCGAACGGGUGAGUAACACGUGGGUAACCUGCCCAUCAGAAGGGGAUAACACUUGGAAACAGGUGCUAAUACCGUAUAACAAUCGAAACCGCAUGGUUUUGAUUUGAAAGGCGCUUUCGGGUGUCGCUGAUGGAUGGACCCGCGGUGCAUUAGCUAGUUGGUGAGGUAACGGCUCACCAAGGCCACGAUGCAUAGCCGACCUGAGAGGGUGAUCGGCCACAUUGGGACUGAGACACGGCCCAAACUCCUACGGGAGGCAGCAGUAGGGAAUCUUCGGCAAUGGACGAAAGUCUGACCGAGCAACGCCGCGUGAGUGAAGAAGGUUUUCGGAUCGUAAAACUCUGUUGUUAGAGAAGAACAAGGAUGAGAGUAACUGUUCAUCCCUUGACGGUAUCUAACCAGAAAGCCACGGCUAACUACGUGCCAGCAGCCGCGGUAAUACGUAGGUGGCAAGCGUUGUCCGGAUUUAUUGGGCGUAAAGCGAGCGCAGGCGGUUUCUUAAGUCUGAUGUGAAAGCCCCCGGCUCAACCGGGGAGGGUCAUUGGAAACUGGGAGACUUGAGUGCAGAAGAGGAGAGUGGAAUUCCAUGUGUAGCGGUGAAAUGCGUAGAUAUAUGGAGGAACACCAGUGGCGAAGGCGGCUCUCUGGUCUGUAACUGACGCUGAGGCUCGAAAGCGUGGGGAGCAAACAGGAUUAGAUACCCUGGUAGUCCACGCCGUAAACGAUGAGUGCUAAGUGUUGGAGGGUUUCCGCCCUUCAGUGCUGCAGCUAACGCAUUAGGCACUCCGCCUGGGGAGUACGACCGCAAGGUUGAAACUCAAAGGAAUUGACGGGGGCCCGCACAAGCGGUGGAGCAUGUGGUUUAAUUCGAAGCAACGCGAAGAACCUUACCAGGUCUUGACAUCCUUUGACCACUCUAGAGAUAGAGCUUCCCCUUCGAGGGCAAAGUGACAGGUGGUGCAUGGUUGUCGUCAGCUCGUGUCAUGAGAUGUUGGGUUAAGUCCCGCAACGAGCGCAACCCUUAUUGUUAGUUGCCAUCAUUCAGUUGGGCACUCUAGCAAGACUGCCGGUGACAAACCGGAGGAAGGUGGGGAUGACGUCAAAUCAUCAUGCCCCUUAUGACCUGGGCUACACACGUGCUACAAUGGGAAGUACAACGGGUUGCGAAGUCGCGAGGCUAAGCUAAUCUCUUAAAGCUUCUCUCAGUUCGGAUUGCAGGCUGCAACUCGCCUGCAUGAAGCCGGAAUCGCUAGUAAUCGCGGAUCAGCACGCCGCGGUGAAUACGUUCCCGGGCCUUGUACACACCGCCCGUCACACCACGAGAGUUUGUAACACCCGAAGUCGGUGAGGUAACCUUUUGGAGCCAGCCGCCUAAGGUGGGAUAGAUGAUUGGGGUGAAG